Molecule: ribosomal RNA, 589 nt
Filed under: Microbacterium sp. Ri3Pt_4432
Lineage: Bacteria; Bacillati; Actinomycetota; Actinomycetes; Micrococcales; Microbacteriaceae
Description: bacterial SSU rRNA
Rfam family: Bacterial small subunit ribosomal RNA
Source: RNAcentral
GUUGUAAACCUCCUUUUAGCAGGGAAGAAGCGAAAGUGACGGUACCUGCAGAAAAAGCGCCGGCUAACUACGUGCCAGCAGCCGCGGUAAUACGUAGGGCGCAAGCGUUAUCCGGAAUUAUUGGGCGUAAAGAGCUCGUAGGCGGUUUGUCGCGUCUGCUGUGAAAUCCCGAGGCUCAACUUCGGGUCUGCAGUGGGUACGGGCAGACUAGAGUGCGGUAGGGGAGAUUGGAAUUCCUGGUGUAGCGGUGGAAUGCGCAGAUAUCAGGAGGAACACCGAUGGCGAAGGCAGAUCUCUGGGCCGUAACUGACGCUGAGGAGCGAAAGGGUGGGGAGCAAACAGGCAUAGAUACCCUGGUAGUCCACCCCGUAAACGUUGGGAACUAGUUGUGGGGUCCAUUCCACGGAUUCCGUGACGCAGCUAACGCAUUAAGUUCCCCGCCUGGGGAGUACGGCCGCAAGGCUAAAACUCAAAGGAAUUGACGGGGACCCGCACAAGCGGCGGAGCAAGCGGAUUAAUUCGAUGCAACGCGAAGAACCAUACCAAGGCUUGACAUAUACGAGAACGCUGCAGAAAUGUAGAACUCUUU